GAGCGGUCGUAGCAAUACGGCAGCGGCAGACGGGAGAGUAACACGUGGGAACGUGCCCUUUGGUUCGGAACAACCCAGGGAAACUUGGGCUAAUACCGGAUACGCCCUAACGGGGUAAAGAUUUAUCGCCGAAGGAUCGGCCCGCGUCUGAUUAGCUAGUUGGUGGGGUAAUGGCCCACCAAGGCGACGAUCAGUAGCUGGUCUGAGAGGAUGAUCAGCCUCACUGGGACUGAGACACGGCCCAGACUCCUACGGGAGGCAGCAGUGGGGAAUAUUGGACAAUGGGCGCAAGCCUGAUCCAGCCAUGCCGCGUGGGUGAUGAAGGCCCUAGGGUUGUAAAGCCCUUUCGGCGGGGAAGAUAAUGACGGUACCCGCAGAAGAAGCCCCGGCUAACUUCGUGCCAGCAGCCGCGGUAAUAAU
Molecule: ribosomal RNA, 420 nt
Filed under: uncultured bacterium
Lineage: Bacteria
Description: bacterial SSU rRNA
Rfam family: Bacterial small subunit ribosomal RNA
Source: RNAcentral